AUUGAACGCUGGCGGCAUGCUUUACACAUGCAAGUCGAACGGCAGCGCGGGCUUCGGCCUGGCGGCGAGUGGCGAACGGGUGAGUAAUGCAUCGGAACGUGCCCAGUAGUGGGGGAUAGCCCGGCGAAAGCCGGAUUAAUACCGCAUACGACCUGAGGGUGAAAGCGGGGGACCGAAAGGCCUCGCGCUAUUGGAGCGGCCGAUGUCGGAUUAGCUAGUUGGUGGGGUAAAGGCUUACCAAGGCGACGAUCCGUAGCUGGUCUGAGAGGACGACCAGCCACACUGGGACUGAGACACGGCCCAGACUCCUACGGGAGGCAGCAGAGGGGAAUUUUGGACAAUGGGGGCAACCCUGAUCCAGCCAUGCCGCGUGCGGGAAGAAGGCCUUCGGGUUGUAAACCGCUUUUGUUCGGGAAGAAAUCCUCUGGGCUAAUACCCCGGGGGGAUGACGGUACCGGAAGAAUAAGCACCGGCUAACUACGUG
Molecule: ribosomal RNA, 484 nt
Filed under: uncultured bacterium
Lineage: Bacteria
Description: partial 16S ribosomal RNA
Rfam family: Bacterial small subunit ribosomal RNA
Source: RNAcentral